GACGAACGCUGGCGGCGUGCUUAACACAUGCAAGUCGAACGGUGAACCUCUUCGGAGGGGAUCAGUGGCGAAAGGGUGAGUAACACGUGGGCAACCUGCCCCCGGCUCUGGGAUAACUCCAAGAAAUUGGGGCUAAUACCGGAUGUUCACCGCUUCCCGCAUGGGUGGUGGUGGAAAGGGUUUCCGGCUGGGGAUGGGCCCGCGGCCUAUCAGCUUGUUGGUGGGGUAGUGGCCUACCAAGGCGACGACGGGUAGCCGGCCUGAGAGGGUGACCGGCCACACUGGGACUGAGACACGGCCCAGACUCCUACGGGAGGCAGCAGUGGGGAAUAUUGCGCAAUGGGCGGAAGCCUGACGCAGCGACGCCGCGUGGGGGAUGACGGCCUUCGGGUUGUAAACCUCUUUCAGCAGGGACGAAGCGCAAGUGACGGUACCUGCAGAAGAAGCACCGGCCAACUACGUG
This 463-nucleotide ribosomal RNA is filed under the name uncultured bacterium. RNAcentral's name for it is "partial 16S ribosomal RNA". It matches the Rfam family "Bacterial small subunit ribosomal RNA", at positions 28 to 507 of the family's 1533-position model. The record is from RNAcentral.